This 492-nucleotide ribosomal RNA is filed under the name uncultured bacterium. RNAcentral's name for it is "partial 16S ribosomal RNA". It matches the Rfam family "Bacterial small subunit ribosomal RNA", at positions 29 to 507 of the family's 1533-position model. The record is from RNAcentral.
AGUGAACGCUGGCGGUAGGCCUAACACAUGCAAGUCGAACGGCAGCACAGUAAGAGCUUGCUCUUACGGGUGGCGAGUGGCGGACGGGUGAGGAAUACAUCGGAAUCUACUUUUUCGUGGGGGAUAACGUAGGGAAACUUACGCUAAUACCGCAUACGACCUACGGGUGAAAGCAGGGGAUCUUCGGACCUUGCGCGAUUGAAUGAGCCGAUGUCCGAUUAGCUAGUUGGCGGGGUAAAGGCCCACCAAGGCGACGAUCCGUAGCUGGUCUGAGAGGAUGAUCAGCCACACUGGAACUGAGACACGGUCCAGACUCCUACGGGAGGCAGCAGUGGGGAAUAUUGGACAAUGGGCGCAAGCCUGAUCCAGCCAUACCGCGUGGGUGAAGAAGGCCUUCGGGUUGUAAAGCCCUUUUGUUGGGAAAGAAAAGCAGCAGGUUAAUACCCCGCUGUUCUGACGGUACCCAAAGAAUAAGCACCGGCUAACUUCGUG